UACGAAGGGUGCUAGCGUUGUUCGGAAUUACUGGGCGUAAAGAGCGCGUAGGCGGUUAUACAAGUCAGAGGUGAAAUCCCAGGGCUCAACCCUGGAACUGCCUUUGAAACUGUAUAGCUGGAGUGUGUGAGGGGAUAGCGGAAUUGCUAAUGUAGAGGUGAAAUUCGUAGAUAUUAGCAGGAACACCGGUGGCGAAGGCGGCUAUCUGGCACACAACUGACGCUGAGGAACGAAAGCUAGGGGAGCAAACAGG
Molecule: ribosomal RNA, 253 nt
Filed under: uncultured bacterium
Lineage: Bacteria
Description: partial 16S ribosomal RNA
Rfam family: Bacterial small subunit ribosomal RNA
Source: RNAcentral